CUUACGAUGCGGGAACUUAUGAAUUGACAUUUCUUACGCCGAAAUUUUAAAAAUGCUCUUUUUGGUCAAUUUCUAAGAUUUUUAAACUCUGAUAUUGAAGAAAUUCUGGCUUUUCUACAUUUAAUUCAUGCGGAUCCAGGUUGUUUUUUAUGCGUUUUGUUAAGGUUUGAUCACUCGACCCUCCACCCUUCCAGAUUUUCAGUGUCAGUGACCCUGGUACAGUGGUGAGGGGAUUAGUAGUGAGUACUUCAAGGAUAUUCCCAGUCACAGAUUCCAGGAUAUUAAAUACUUUUGUCUGGCGAUGCAAACGGGGUAAAAGCUAUGAAUCGCCAUGAAGAAACCAGCAAACACAAACAUAAAAGAAGGAAAACAGGGGCAGAGAGGGACAGGAUCAGGACCAGACUUCAAGCAAAGAGAUCAAAAGCAAAUGAGCAUAAGAGACAUACAGAUUGUAUUGAUCCUUUGCUGGUAGGUAUGAAUAACCUUACAGAUCCAAUAAAUAUGCCCUAAAUUUGAACUUGCUUUUUAUAUACAUUUUAUUUUCAUGUGUUUUGGAAAUAUUCUCCACCCCAAAUAAUUUGGUCUGAAAUUAUGCCUUUACAAUGUUGUCAACCGUAUCAAGAAAGAAAAGUUUGUGGCCAUCCUGGUGUAGGUCAUUGUAAUGACUGUAAAUGGGGAUGUGGCAUUUCGAGCAGAAGAAUCUCAUCACCUUAUCCAUGUGCUCUGGGCAGAAAAUCUUUUGCUGUUCUUGAAUCUCUCUGUUUAGAUGUUGAUUAAUGCCAUAUUUUCCUACUCUUUG
Lingula anatina is the source of this 799-nucleotide long non-coding RNA. Lineage: Eukaryota; Metazoa; Brachiopoda; Lingulata; Lingulida; Lingulidae. The record is from RefSeq and is a predicted model, not a curated record.